CCCCCCCCCUAGCAGCUAGCACGCACCAAUUGAACCUAGCACGCAACAAUUUGACCUCUUUGGCUCAAGAUGCUUUCCUGACCUUGGUGGGGAAUAUGCUACGAGAUAUGAAGAACAGGGCUGAUGGCAAAGCAGGGUCGAUUUUUACUGCUGGAAACCCAUUUUCUUGUCAUGGCUAAGACUAUGGUUGGCUCAUCAGAAACACGAGGUACAUUGUUAGGCGAAUGCUUCUGGACUUCAGGUGCUCUGAUGGAAGCCGGCUGUCUGAACUGUCGUACACUGACAUCGACUGCGACAUGGGUGGAAGAAACAGGUUUAAUUAAACGAGUAAACAUUA
Molecule: long non-coding RNA, 337 nt
Organism: Ornithodoros turicata
Lineage: Eukaryota; Metazoa; Arthropoda; Arachnida; Ixodida; Argasidae
Exons: 2
Source: RefSeq, a predicted model, not a curated record